AUGACAACAUUGCUAAGGGCAGAUUUCUUGCCCAUGCAACCUGUCUUUACCAAUAAAAUUCACAGGCCCACAACUUCCUUUCCAGCCUGGCCACACCGUGGGAAUGGAUAUUGAGCCAGGGAGGACCAUGCUAGACGGGCAUUUCAUCUGGCUCAGGUGAUAGAAGACCAUGACAGCAGCAAGACCUGACAUGCACAAACGUGAAAGUGGAGAAGUUACGAGAUGAAUAGACAAUUUGAAGUCAGCCUGCUAAGGAGUAAAAGCCAAGAGAAAAGAUCUUCAAGGAAGAAGCUUGCUAACUCCCAAAUCCAGAGAAUGAACUGUUGCAGAAAGAUGCCAGAAAAUCCACACUACAUCAAGAAGAUCAAGAAUGAACUUUGGGUGUGGUUGAUUGAACUGAAGUUUGAUUGAACAUUUAUUGUAAAUGUACACUUUUAUGUCAAGGGGACUGCCCCUUAUUUGGCUUUCUGUCAAUGCGCCUAGAAAAACAUUGCUUUUGCUUUCUUUAUUUCUAUUUCUCCCUAACUACUGUAAUUUCCUCUUCGAAAAUUGAAUAUUGUAAGCAUCUGUAGUUAGAAGUGCAUUUAGGACUACAAGAUGAUUAUGUUAAAUCAUCAAUGGGGAGACUAGUCUCCCAAUGAUAAUCAGGGGGGAUUGUGAAUCUUAAAAACUGCUCAGACUCUACCUUAGAAGAUUUGGUUAAGCUAUUCCCUUAUUGUAACAAAUGGAGGUACUUUAUCAGGAACGUAUUGGGAAUUUUAACAUUAUUCCACCCAUACUUAGGCAUACUUUAGGGGUUGUAAAUGCCUUACUGAACAAUGAAAAGUCCCCAACUCAUACUUAUAUUGAAGCGAAAUCCCUAAACUAGGUCUAUUUUUAGAUCUAAUACAAAAGGGUGCUAAGUACCUGUAAAGGUUAAAUUAAUCACUAAAAAGGUCAAACGACUUACAAAAGGCAAGAAGUGUGAAGUUUUAGUCUAUUCAGAGAAGGUGAUGAUAAAAGAAGAUGUGAACUAAGAAUGGUGAGUCCUGGGGAAAACACCUACUGUGAUUGUUAGGUGUGAAAAUUUAGGGGAAGUUUGGAGUUAGUUUGGAGGAGCUGGCUCUCUGAACUUAGUUGGAGUUUGGAGUUAGUUUGGAGGAGCUGGGUCUCUGAACUGAGUUCAGGAGUUAAGGAUUUAGUGAAGGACUGGAGUUUUGCUUUAGGACAAAUCUUGUGGUGAGUGAUAAAAGACUGACUAGUCUCUCUUAAGGCUCAGGCUUGGGUCAUUUGGCCUAGGCCCUUCCUACUAUUUCCUCUUACUCUAUCUAUCUUCCUUCCCUUAAUUCCUUCAUUUGUAUGAAUUAAAAUCACCAUAAAACCCAGCUGACUUGGGUAUUU
Long non-coding RNA from Monodelphis domestica (gray short-tailed opossum), 1380 nucleotides. The record is from Ensembl. NCBI's taxonomy places the organism in Eukaryota, Metazoa, Chordata, Mammalia, Didelphimorphia, Didelphidae.